RNAcentral lists this ribosomal RNA (266 nucleotides) under uncultured Desulfocapsa sp. Its description in RNAcentral is "partial 16S ribosomal RNA". It matches the Rfam family "Bacterial small subunit ribosomal RNA", at positions 1113 to 1382 of the family's 1533-position model. The record is from RNAcentral. Lineage: Bacteria; Pseudomonadati; Thermodesulfobacteriota; Desulfobulbia; Desulfobulbales; Desulfocapsaceae.
AGUUGCCAUCAUUAUUGGGCACUCUAAAGAGACUGCCGGUGUCAAACCGGAGGAAGUGGGGAUGACGUCAAGUCCUCAUGGCCUUUAUGACCAGGGCUACACACGUACUACAAUGGCCGGUACAAAGGGCAGCCACUUAGCGAUAAGGAGCCAAUCCCGUAAAGCCGGUCUCAGUCCGGAUUGGAGUCUGCAACUCGACUCCAUGAAGUUGGAAUCGCUAGUAAUCGCAGAUCAGCACGCUGCGGUCGAAUACGUUCCCGGGCCUU